RNAcentral lists this ribosomal RNA (161 nucleotides) under uncultured bacterium. RNAcentral's name for it is "partial 16S ribosomal RNA". It matches the Rfam family "Bacterial small subunit ribosomal RNA", at positions 355 to 507 of the family's 1533-position model. The record is from RNAcentral.
UGGGGAAUAUUGGGCAAUGGGCGAAAGCCUGACCCAGCCACGCCGCGUGAGUGAUGAAGGCCUUCGGGUCGUAAAGCUCUGUGGGGAGGGACGAACAAGUGCGUACCUAACACGUACGUGCCCUGACGGUACCUCCUUAGCAAGCACCGGCUAACCAUGUG